UAAACGACUCUCGGCAACGGAUAUCUCGGCUCUUGCAUCGAUGAAGAACGUAGCGAAAUGCGAUACUUGGUGUGAAUUGCAGAAUCCCGUGAACCAUCGAGUCUUUGAACGCAAGUUGCGCCUGAAGCCAUUAGGUUGAAGGCACGCCUGCCUGGGCGUCACGC
This 164-nucleotide ribosomal RNA is filed under the name Kalmia latifolia. RNAcentral describes it as "5.8S ribosomal RNA". It matches the Rfam family "5.8S ribosomal RNA". From Rfam's summary of the family: 5.8S ribosomal RNA (5.8S rRNA) is a component of the large subunit of the eukaryotic ribosome. It is transcribed by RNA polymerase I as part of the 45S precursor that also contains 18S and 28S rRNA. Functionally, it is thought that 5.8S rRNA may be involved in ribosome translocation. Lineage: Eukaryota; Viridiplantae; Streptophyta; Magnoliopsida; Ericales; Ericaceae. The record is from RNAcentral. RNAcentral also lists the same sequence under 2 other names.